This 324-nucleotide ribosomal RNA is filed under the name uncultured Pseudomonas sp. RNAcentral's name for it is "bacterial SSU rRNA". It matches the Rfam family "Bacterial small subunit ribosomal RNA", at positions 1059 to 1382 of the family's 1533-position model. The record is from RNAcentral. Lineage: Bacteria; Pseudomonadati; Pseudomonadota; Gammaproteobacteria; Pseudomonadales; Pseudomonadaceae.
UCCGUGUCGUGAGAUGUUGGGUUAAGUCCCGUAACGAGCGCAACCCUUGUCCUUAGUUACCAGCACGUUAUGGUGGGCACUCUAAGGAGACUGCCGGUGACAAACCGGAGGAAGGUGGGGAUGACGUCAAGUCAUCAUGGCCCUUACGGCCUGGGCUACACACGUGCUACAAUGGUCGGUACAAAGGGUUGCCAAGCCGCGAGGUGGAGCUAAUCCCAUAAAACCGAUCGUAGUCCGGAUCGCAGUCUGCAACUCGACUGCGUGAAGUCGGAAUCGCUAGUAAUCGUGAAUCAGAAUGUCACGGUGAAUACGUUCCCGGGCCUU